This 1865-nucleotide long non-coding RNA is filed under the name Cricetulus griseus (Chinese hamster). RNAcentral's name for it is "lncRNA (ENSCGRG00015037416.1)". Lineage: Eukaryota; Metazoa; Chordata; Mammalia; Rodentia; Cricetidae. The record is from RNAcentral.
AAAUUAAUGAAGAGUUAGAAGACACAUAAAAUUCUACACAAUUUAUCUUAAAUCAUGCAAAUCCACACUCAUACAAACAAACUGCAAUUAAGAGAAAUGUUGGGCAGGCAAGAGGGCCCAGCAGGUUUAAGAACCUACUAGCAAGCCUGAUGAUCUGAGUUCAAUCCCCUGAACUCACAUGGCGGGAAGAGAAAACAGACUCCAAGUUGUCUUGUGACCUCCACAUUUGCACACACCCAUCAAACUUGGAUGCACACACAUAUAAUAAAUGUUAAAACUCCCAAUGAGAAAAAGUGUUAAGGCCAGGCAGUGGUGGGGAAUGCCUUUAAUCCCAGCACUUGAGAAGCAGGUGGAUCUAUGUGAGUUGGAGGCCAGCCUGAUCUACAGAGUGAGUUCCAGGAUAGCCAAGGCUACACCGAGAAACCCUGUCUUGAAAUAAAAAACAAAAACAAGCAAAAAACAACAAAACAAAACAACACCAAAAAUUUAUUGGAAUAGUUUAAAAUGUGAACAGAAUACUGGGUUUGUAAAAUGCCUUUAUUUCAGUCCUGGCCCUGAGACUGUCUUGUGCCUGAGAUAUCAUCGUUGUGGUUAGCUGCCUUUUGAGCCCCAUCUCUAACCUUAAGUGCUUUGACACAUGGCCCUCUGCGUUCGUGGUUGAUUGGCACAAUCAUCCUACAUACACAGCGUCCCUUGAGGCAGUGGUGGCACAAGGCCUCAGUAGGGUUGAGGGGCCUGGCUCUGUCAGCUUCUGUGUCUGGCAGUUCUCUAUGUCCGGGUGCAUCCACAUCUUGGGAAUCACCUAAAACCAGAAUGAUCUGCAGAGACCUCAAGGAAGAUUACCAGCGCCAACUCAGUGUUAUUCUGUGGGUCUCAUCCUCCAUGACAGGGCUUGGUAGACUCUGGUCUCCGAGACAAAUCUAGAUGUUGAUAGUAUUCAGAAAUGAUGUGUUCUUGGAGCACAGCUGUGUUUACUUAUUUUAAUAUUCUCUCUAACUUCUUUCCUGCCACAGUGGCAGAAUGAAGUAAGUUGCUGUAAAAGAGACCUCCACAACUCACAAAACAGCCACAUUUACUAUCUGAUCAUUCAUAGGACAAAUUUACCAAUUUUUGCCGCAGUUGGCUAGCCUUGGGAUAUCACCAUGAUUAUGACAAAGAAAUAGGGGAGGAAAUGGAGUCCUAUAAACUGCCUUCCAAGAAAACAUCAGUCUGUCAUGCCAACUAACAUGCCAAUAAACGAAGAAAGUCCUAUGCCAUACAGCUGACCUCAAAAUCAAAGUGUUUAGACUCAGGUUCCCGAGUGGCAGCAACCUCAGCAUCACAAGGCACACGCAACAGAUGACUCACCUCCUGCUCUCUCCAUUACAGUGAAGUAGAUGAUGGAAAUGGUCAGUGACUCUGAAAAUUCUAUCCUGGAGGUAGGUGUUGAUCUACUCAUUUGGAGUGAUAGAAUGGGAGCGUCAACGUGCAGGAGAAACUACAGUAGAUAACCCGUGACCUCACUAAUGAGGUCAGAGAUGAUUUGUGAGCUAAAUAGCAUUUUGUGGGUUUCAUGCCUUAGAAUAAUAAUGGUUAAAUUAAUUUUCUCUGAAUCAAUGUCAAGUCAUCAAAACAUCAUAAACACUCCAAAAUAUUAAAUAAAUAUUGAGUUCUCCCCAUAUGAAGAUUUUUCUCUCCUCAUUUUUUUCUUCAGGUGGGAAAUGUAAUGUCACUUGAAUAGACCAGCCAUUGACAGAUAUUAGUGUCAGGUGUGUGACAAGCUGAAUGAACAGAAGCCAAUGAGGUGGGAUUCCUUGCCCUACUCAUUCUGGGUUCCCAAAAUCUGGACCCUGAGAGUUAGAUUCCUGCAAGCCAAACCUCAGUAC